Molecule: ribosomal RNA, 467 nt
Filed under: uncultured bacterium
Lineage: Bacteria
Description: partial 16S ribosomal RNA
Rfam family: Bacterial small subunit ribosomal RNA
Source: RNAcentral
GAUGAACGCUGGCGGCGUGCUUAACACAUGCAAGUCGAACGGAAAGGCCCAAGCUUGCUUGGGUACUCGAGUGGCGAACGGGUGAGUAACACGUGGGUGAUCUGCCCUGCACUUCGGGAUAAGCCUGGGAAACUGGGUCUAAUACCGGAUAGGACACCUCCUUGGAUGUUGUGGUGGAAAGUUUUUUGGGUGUGGGAUGAGCUCGCGGCCUAUCAGCUUGUUGGUGUGGUAAUGGCCUACCAAGGCGUCGGCGGGUAGCCGGCCUGAGAGGGUGUACGGCCACAUUGGGACUGAGAGACGGCCCAGACUCCUACGGGAGGCAGCAGUGGGGAAUAUUGCACAAUGGGCGCAAGCCUGAUGCAGCGACGCCGCGUGGGGGAUGACGGCCUUCGGGUUGUAAACUCCUUUCGCUAGGGACGAAGCGUUUUGUGACGGUACCUGGAGAAGAAGCACCGGCUAACUACGUG